CCUACGUGAGGCAGCAGUGAGGAAUAUUGGUCAAUGGACGAGAGUCUGAACCAGCCAAGUAGCGUGAAGGAUGACUGCCCUAUGGGUUGUAAACUUCUUUUAUAUGGGAAUAAAAUGUUCCACGUGUGGGAUUUUGUAUGUACCAUAUGAAUAAGGAUCGGCUAACUCCGUGCCAGCAGCCGCGGUAAUACGGAGGAUCCGAGCGUUAUCCGGAUUUAUUGGGUUUAAAGGGAGCGUAGGUGGAAUGGUAAGUCAGUUGUGAAAGUUUGCGGAUCAACCGUAAAAUUGCAGUUGAAACUGGCAGUCUUGAGUAAAGUAGAGGUGGGCGGAAUUCGUGGUGUAGCGGUGAAAUGCUUAGAUAUCACGAAGAACUCCGAUUGCGAAGGCAGUUCACUGGACUGAAACGGACACUGAGGCUCGAAAGUGUGGGUAUCAAACAGGAUUAGAUACCCUUGUAGUC
This 460-nucleotide ribosomal RNA is filed under the name uncultured bacterium. Its description in RNAcentral is "partial 16S ribosomal RNA". It matches the Rfam family "Bacterial small subunit ribosomal RNA", at positions 338 to 795 of the family's 1533-position model. The record is from RNAcentral.